GAUGAACGCUGACAGAAUGCUUAACACAUGCAAGUCUACUUGAACUUCGGUUUGGGUGGCGGACGGGUGAGUAACGCGUAAAGAACUUGCCUCACAGUUAGGGACAACAUUUGGAAACGAAUGCUAAUACCUGAUAUUAUGAUUUUAGGGCAUCCUAAAAUUAUGAAAGCUAUAUGCGCUGUGAGAGAGCUUUGCGUCCCAUUAGCUAGUUGGAGAGGUAACGGCUCACCAAGGCGAUGAUGGGUAGCCGGCCUGAGAGGGUGAACGGCCACAAGGGGACUGAGACACGGCCCUUACUCCUACGGGAGGCAGCAGUGGAGAAUAUUGGACAAUGGACCAAAAGUCUGAUCCAGCAAUUCUGUGUGCACGAUGACGUUUUUCGGAAUGUAAAGUGCUUUCAGUUGGGAAGAAAAAAAUGACGGUACCAACAGAAGAAGUGACGGCUAAAUACGUG
This 454-nucleotide ribosomal RNA is filed under the name uncultured bacterium. RNAcentral describes it as "partial 16S ribosomal RNA". It matches the Rfam family "Bacterial small subunit ribosomal RNA", at positions 28 to 507 of the family's 1533-position model. The record is from RNAcentral.